RNAcentral lists this ribosomal RNA (460 nucleotides) under uncultured bacterium. RNAcentral describes it as "partial 16S ribosomal RNA". It matches the Rfam family "Bacterial small subunit ribosomal RNA", at positions 338 to 795 of the family's 1533-position model. The record is from RNAcentral.
CCUACGGGAGGCAGCAGUGAGGAAUAUUGGUCAAUGGGCGGGAGCCUGAACCAGCCAAGUCGCGUGAGGGAAGACGGUCCUAUGGAUUGUAAACCUCUUUAGGAGGGGAGCAAUGCCGGGCACGCGUGCCCGGAGGGAGAGUACCCGCAGAAUAAGCAUCGGCUAACUCCGUGCCAGCAGCCGCGGGAAUACGGAGGAUGCGAGCGUUAUACGGAUGUAUUGGGGUAAAGGGGUGCGUAGGCGGAUUUUUAAGUCAGCGGUAAAAUGUCCGGGCUCAACCCGGGCCGGCCGUUGAAACGGGGGAUCUUGAGUGGGCGAGAAGUAUGCGGAAUGCGUGGUGUAGCGGUGAAAUGCAUAGAUAUCACGCAGAACCCCGAUUGCGAAGGCAGCAUACCGGCGCCCGACUGACGCUGAGGCACGAAAGCGUGGGGAUCGAACAGGAUUAGAUACCCCAGUAGUC